Molecule: non-coding RNA, 380 nt
Organism: Pelobates cultripes (western spadefoot toad)
Lineage: Eukaryota; Metazoa; Chordata; Amphibia; Anura; Pelobatidae
Source: the annotation of a GenBank genome assembly
AUUAAGUUGUGCACAUUGUGUUCAUUAUUUGCCAUUGUGGUGCAAUCAUACCUAUAUUAGAUUUUAAUAUUCAAAGUUUAAAUCAUGAAAAUUAAAUGGAAUGCUCAAAAUUCCACUAUUUUUACAAAGCCAUCAUUUUAUCUAAGUGUGCAUCGCUCUGAGAAUCUAGUAAUUUAUUGUGAGAGUCCACCUGUUUAAUUUGAGAGAAUUCGUAAAUACUGAGAGCAGGUUAUUGUCUUAGUUCCCAGCUAUAGUGUAUUCUGCCAUCUUUACUUAGACCUUCGAAUGCAACAUGCUAGCUCCUGUUUAGCUCCAUUAUUUCUAUAUCUCCCUAAAAUUCUUUUUAUACAUUUUUUUUCCUUUCUCGUUUACAGGCAGCG